UACAGAGGUCCCGAGCGUUGUUCGGAUUCAUUGGGCGUAAAGGGUGCGUAGGUGGCGCUGUAAGUGGGGUGUGAAAUCCCGGGGCUUAACCCCGGGACUGCAUUCCAUACUGCGGUGCUUGAGGACUGGAGAGGAGACUGGAAUUUACGGUGUAGCAGUGAAAUGCGUAGAGAUCGUAAGGAAGACCAGUGGCGAAGGCGGGUCUCUGGACAGUUCCUGACACUGAGGCACGAAGGCCAGGGGAGCAAACGG
RNAcentral lists this ribosomal RNA (252 nucleotides) under uncultured prokaryote. Its description in RNAcentral is "partial 16S ribosomal RNA". It matches the Rfam family "Bacterial small subunit ribosomal RNA", at positions 524 to 775 of the family's 1533-position model. The record is from RNAcentral.